This 15523-nucleotide long non-coding RNA is filed under the name Physcomitrium patens. RNAcentral's name for it is "long non-coding RNA (PPAT_LNC014415)". Lineage: Eukaryota; Viridiplantae; Streptophyta; Bryopsida; Funariales; Funariaceae. The record is from RNAcentral.
GUGAGCAAGCCUCAAAAAACGAAAGAAAUAGUCUCAGCAAUUGCUUUUGUUUGUGUCUGAAUGCUCGCCUUGUAUUCCAGACGUACAUCGUUUAAGGGCAACGGCACCUUCAAUUCAAUCCUCACUAUUGUUUACAUAGUUGAUAAUUUAGCAGCUAUUCUGAGAGGAAAAUAGAACAGUCGGAAAACUUGAGAACUGCAGGUUCCCCAGUGCAUAGACCUUUGAAAUCCAUCAACAUUGAACUUGCUAACCUGUUCCAUUGCAUGCCAAAGCCAGAGUAAGAUAGUGCAGUGAGUUUAUGAGCUCAAAAAUGACAAUCUCAUAUGCUACGAGCAAGAAUUGCUUACAAAAUGAUCACUAUACAAAGGAUAGAUUGCAAGCUUUUAAAAGAAAAUGGGUUCAGCCGAAAAAUUACUCAGAACAUUUAAAGGCUUUGUCUUUGAGAUGUCAAAGUCUGACUAAAUCAUUCUGUCACAGAGUUCACUCAGGUCAGAACCGACAUUUCUAUUCCCCUGUAAUUUUGGAAUCAGUUUCUGUGACAACUCUCGAUUUACCUAAGCCUUACUUUGGAUAGUAACAAUAGGCUAGUGAUGAUAAUGAAAAAAAUGGACAGUGAAUGCUGUGUCAGUAUUCUAGCAGAAAGAGAGAAAUUUUAAGACAAAAAAAAUGAACUCGGGAAAAGGAGCACCAAGGUGUACACAACACUAGUGACGACUCCUCACAGUCUUCACUGUUCACAAAUAAUUCUGUCUCUCGUCCUAAUCGCACCACAUUGUCACUCAUAAAAAGAUCGGCAACAUACGUUUCCUCUCAAAGAGAACUUGUGGGUUCGGUCGAACCAUCAAUGUCUGGCUGCAAUUCAAACUGUGAAACUUUACUUGAUUGCAUUCGACCAAGGUUUGUGCUCUAAGAUGAACCUUGAAAGGCUCUAGGCUAGUUCGGCUUGAAAACACGGUACCAAUAGCGCCGCCCAGACACUUCAUCGGAGGAGAGCAGUAUCCUAUGUCACUUGAAUAAGCUCAAUAUUGAAGUCCGAGCUUUGAAAGACCAGUUCGAUUCCAUCGUCGACUGUACAGAUUAUCACCGAAACUAAGAAAAAUUUCACACGAAGUUUCAGAACGAAAUUCGUUUUGAAGGAAAGGUGUAUAACUCACACCCAAUGGACACGAUGAUGACAAUAUAGGGAUCGUUUGCUAGAGAUCACAAACAAAAACAGUAAUAUAAACAUAUUUUAGCUUGGAAUUAAACAAUCAAGUCGACAAUCAGCUUGUGUAGAAGUGACCAGCAACGACUGCAAAGUGAAGGCUCAGGCUUCAGCAUUCACCAAAUUCUCAAAUAUUGUUUACUUUUCAACACACAAAUUAAUAAAAGUAUGCAUGAAAAAAGAAAGAAAAAAAUAGAAGAGAUGAAGAAAAAUAUAUAAGUGGUUGUGUUAAGGUACAAAAUUAUUUAUGGAAUGUAAAAAAAAGAAAGAUUGACAAGAAGGUUAAGGAUGAAUGCAAUUCAUUUUUUUGUUAUUUGUGUGCACUUCUAAAGUUUAAAGUUUGUUGUUUAAGUUUGUUGGUACUAAAGCACAAGCAUAGAAGAGUGAUUGUGCAAGUACAAAAAAUACAACUUAAAUGCAAAAAAAUAUUUUGAAUAAAAAUAAAAUAAAUAAUUCUUUUUCUAUAUGUGUUUUUGUAGUAAAAUAGUUUGACCACUUUUCUGAAUUAUCUAUCAAUUUCAAUUGUUAUUAAUCCAAAUUAGAAUAAAUCUUAGUUGUUAUUUGAAUAUAGUUGUUAUUAUAAAUAAUUUUGAUUAUAUUUACAUACAAUGCUAGCCAUUUUUUAUCUAAUUUUAUUAUUAUUAUUAUUGAAAUUUUUAUUUAUAAACUAUUAUUUUCAUUAUCCUAAACAUAUUCUUGAUAAAUCUCAAAUCAAUACUAGCUUUUUUUUUUGCAAUCAUUGCCAGUGCAUCUCACUUAAAAGCUAUUACUAAAUAUUUUUAUUUUUAUUUUUAUGUCUUUCUAACAUUGUGUGUUACAGCUAUAUAAUAAAAUAUUUAUUAAUAUUAAUUGUUUAAAUAUAUAUAUAUAUAUAUAUAUAUAUGAUUAAUUAGUCUUACUCAAUUUUUAUCAUGAUUAUUUUUUGUUACUCCAAGAAAUUAUAUAUGUGAUAAAUUUGCUCCUUCUUUUUAUUUAAUCAAAAUAAAUAAAUAAAUAAAAUAUGCUCCCUCAUACAUAGACAUAUUGUUUUUAAAAACCUCUAAUAAUAAUGAGAUAUGAAUAUAAAUUAAGUGUAAUUAUUCUAUUUAUAUUUUAAAAAAUUCAUAUAUUAUUAAUAGUAGCAUUAUAGUUGGUUUAUAAAACCAACUUAUAUGAUCCAAUAUAUGUUUGUAUUAAAAAAAAACAAAAAAUAAAAGAACUUUUGUAAAUAUAUAACAAAGGUUAUUGUUUAAGUUUUUUAUUUAUUAUAUUUAAAAAAUAUUAGUUUUUAAAAUUAAACUACAAUAAUGUCUAUGAAUACAUGCUCAAACAUUGUGUAUGUAUAUUCAUUUAAAAGGUAAUUGUGUUUCGCUUCCUUGGAUAGAAGCUUGAGUACGUUUUGUGACAUACAGACAGAAGAAUGUUAAUUUAAGUGGAAAUUGGAAAAAAAAUAGAAUAUAUAAUUAUCUAUAGCUUUAUAAAUAAUUAUGCAUUAUUUUCUAAAGUAUCAAAUUUAGAACGAGGGCAUUUUUUUAUGUUUUUUUUUCGAAAUUUCCACCAAUUACGACUUCAGAUACAUCAUUACAAAUGGUUUAAGAUCAAAAAUUACUUCUAUGUAUUUUGAAAAGUCUAAAUGCCAAUCAAACCACAUUUGGAAUCUUUUCAUGUAAUUUCAUUCUAAAAAAACACCAUAUCUUCUCUUGACCUCAUCAUUUUUAUUUCAUAUAUGCAUUGUUGCACAAUUAUGUCAUUUAUAGAUGUACUUCUAUGUAUAUACUUCACAUGUCAAAAUAAAGCAAAGAUUCAUUUCAAUGUUGAUAUAAUAAUUCUACUUCAUGAAAUUAUAUGAGAUAAUAUCUUGAUCAUCCACAACUUGGUUAUUAUUCUGUUAUUAAUAUUAAAAAUUCCAAAAAAUAUAAAAAAAUUAGCGGUGUUAUAGAUCAAAUUAUCCUACCAAAUUAUAAAGUAAUUACACAAUGUUUAUAAAAUGGAUGUGAAGAAGUAGAGAAAUUUACUUAAACCAAUAUGCUCAACAAGAUAAAUUUUUGCAACAGGAAUAUAUUUGAAAAAAAAUCAUGAGCUCAUUAAUUAUUGAAUUAUUAGAAAAUAAAGAUGAAAAACUCAUGAUGAUGAAAAGAAACAUGUAUAAGUAGAUACUAAGCAUGUAAGCAAAGAAUACAAGAGACUUUAUGUGCACAAAAACAAUUUGAACAUUGUUGUGUCUAUAUAAAAUUGUUAUGCAAUUAAAUAACAAAGAUGGAGUACAUGUAAACACAUGUGGACAACAAAGACAAACAUCACAUGGAAAAGCAACACUAUAUGUACAACAAGAAAAAAAAGAAGAGGAAGGGAAUAUGAUACAAUGAAAGAAAUUAGUGAAAAAAUAAAGCAUCUUGAACUUAAAGUUCAAAAUAAAAAAGUUUCUUUUUUUAUUUUGCUUUUAUUUCAACAUCUUUGAAUGUUGCUAUAAUUUUAUAAAUAUAAACAUUCAAUGCCUACAUUAUAGAAUAUUCUAUUGGAUGGACAAAAAAAUUAAUUAUUUUUAAGACUAAAUCUAAGAUUUGGUAUAUGUUUUCUUUGUGGAAAGGUUGAAGUUUCACUUUUUAAAGAUCCUUUUUUGUUAAUUAUAUAAUUUUAUAAUAGAGAAGAUAAAUAAAGUGAAGAAUUUUAGAAGAAUAUUUGGAAGUACAAUAGAAUAAAUGCAUUUAUAUCUUUUAAUAUAAAAUUUGACAAUACUUUCUUACAAGAUCAUGGUCCAUAUAAUUUUUACAUACUUUGAAAACUUUGCAUUCACAUAGAUGCUCUUUUUUUAAAACAAGGAUAAAAAAUUAAAAAUUUAUAUGUAAAAUUACAUAUAUAAUGUUGAUAUGGCACAAAUACUCUAUAACGAAAAUUUACCAAUCCAAACAAUAUAGGAGCUUUAUAAAUGUUUAACAAAGUAUUAUGUGUUUUUCCUACUUUGUUAAUAAAGUCAUGAAAUAUUUUCUAAAUCAAAUAAAUAAAUAAAUAAAUAAAUAAAUGAGAAAUAAAUUAUACUAACAUCUUCUUUUUAGUAAAGAUACUAAUAAGUAAAAUUUUAAUAUUUCAACUUCUAAGAAGGUCACUAUUAUUUUGUCUAAGAAUAGAAUAAAAACAAAAGGAAUAAAAGAUAUAGAUGUUCAAUAGAAAAGAGGUCUAAUGCAACAAAUUUGUAAAAAAACAUAAUAUAUACUCACCAUUCUAAUAUAUAUAUAUAUAUAUAUAUAUUCAUACUCAUACACAAAACAUGGAUGGUAUAACCAAAUGAGGCAUAAAAAUAUGAAUGGCAAAGAAGAUGGAAAUAGAAAUAAAAAGAUUAUACAAAUCAAUCAAAUAGAAUUUUAUUUGUAUCAAUAGUUUCUAUAAUAUAAGAAGUAUUCUACCAUCUUACAAGAUAUUUUUUUUAAUAAUAAUUUAUGGUGGAUGCUUUAAUAGCAACCAAGUUGAAUCAAUUGAGAUAUUUGAGUAUAAAUCAAGAGAAGUUAUGUGCAAAUUUUUAUAAAGGAAUAGCAAGUAUUAUUGGAGAUAUGCAAAACCAUGAACUUCAAAUAUAUAAUCUAGAAUAAAAGAUAAUUCUUUUGCCAACUUAUAGUAAGAGUGGAAGAAACUAGUUUAAAAUCUUUUAAGUCUCUAUAUUCAAUAUUUUUUACAUCCACAUAUAUUUAGAAGAUUGAUUACAAAUUCAUAGUGACUAGAAAACUUAAGUAGAUUUCUUUGAAGACAAAAGACCAAAGAUUGUUCUAACUUUGUAGUCCAAGUAUUUGAAAUCAAGUGUAAUGCAUUAUUUGAGAAUAUUUGAAAAUAAAAUUUUAAAAAAUAACACUGCAAGAAUGCAAACCAUUAAUUUUUAUAAAAUAAGACUUUAAACAUGUAUUUUUUAAAAUUUGAGCAAGAGAAGAAAAUAAAAUAAAUAAUUCAUAUCAAUAAGUUUUUUUUUUUUUGUUAAUUUAGAUAAUUUGAUCUUGUAUAAUUUAAAAUUCAAAAUAUAUGAAUUCAAUAAAUAAUAGAAAAAAAUAUUAUAAGAUGUAUUUAAAAAAUAUUAAAAUCCAACAUCAAUGGAUGGUGAUGAUUAUUUUUAGUAUCAUAGAAAAAAUAAUAUAAAAAAUUUGUAUGAAAAAAUAAUAUAAAAGUAUUUAAUUAACCACUGUUGAUAAUUAAGUUGUAUAUAAUUAAGUUGUUAUCUUAUAUAAUCUUGAUAUUAGCAAAAAGUAUAAUUUUCCUAUUAACAUGGAGGUUUGUGCUUUAAUUUAAACACUAAAAUAUAUUUAUAAGUGAAUCUAUAAAAAAUGUGAUUGUUCAAUAAUGCCAAUAGAAAAUGAAGAAAAUGAAAUUAAGAAAUAUAUUGAUAUAAUAAUCUUGAAGAGUUAUAUUACUUAGAUGAAGAAGAAGGAAGUGGAAAAAUAUUUUUUUAUACAUAAAAAAUAAAAAAUUCUAAAAACAAACAAAGAUUGUUUUAAAUGUAACUUCCUAUCAAAUUCUAGUACAACUUAUAAGAAGUGGAUACAUUGCAUAUUCUACAUUCAAAAAAAAUCUUAUUCUUUGUAAAGAUUUAUUUUGUAGCUGAAAGAACCUUCUAGAGCAUAUAUGAAAUUGAAAAGAUAUUUGGAAGAAUUAUGGUAGUCUUAAGUGAAGAUUUUUAAUGUAGUUGUAAAAGAACUAAGAUAGAAGUUUGUUGACACCUCUUUACAAUAGUUUAUGAUUUGGUCCCAUAUUAAAAUAUGCAAGCUUACCAAAAAUAUGUAUUAAGGAGGUGAAUUAAAGAAAAAAAAAAAAAAAAAAAAAAAAAAUGCUUGUUAAAAAGUUCUUAAAAAUAUACAUUGUAUAUUUUUAGUAUUUUGGAAAAUUUAAUUUUUAUGACAAAAUGUUUGACUUUGAUAUACCAAAAUAUAUUAUUUUAUUACAUAUUAGAGAUAGAUUUUUAAUUAUUGAUCUUAAGAUAGAUACAAUGAUCCUUUUAGAUUGCAUAAAAAUAUGUUCAAUAUCAAAAGCUUUUAUUUAAGUCAUAUAAUAAAGACUAAAGAAGUUGGAAAAUGUAGAGAUGAAUAUAUGAUUGACAUGUCAAUUCUAUUUGUUCAAAAUGAUAAUAAUGAUGAUCUAAACAUGCAUGCCCUAAAAAUACUUUAAAGACUUCUACAUGUUUAUUUUAAUACAAUUAUAGUGGUAAUCAAAGAUAGUGCCAACAAUAGCAAUUGUUAUGAAAGGAAGUAUAUAAAUAGUUUAAGUUGAGAUGGAUUGAUAUUGUUUAAAUUAGAGCCAAAGGUUAGAUAUUCCAUUAUAUUGUUGUAAAAUAAUACUCAAUGUAAAGGACUUUGCAAUAGAUUACACUUAAUCAUAACAUAACUAACAUUUCAAGUCAUAGAAGGAAGACUAUUAAUUAGAAACCACAAAAGACAAUUAUCUUUUUUUCCAAUGAGCAUGUUAUGUCCAUCAUCUACAAAGAUAUUAUUCAAGUUCUAACAAAGGUAGUUUAAAUUAAAGUUUGUAUUUGCAAUGACAAUAAAUAAAUCCUAAAAACAAUCAUCGAAGAGUAUAGAAAUAGAUCUUCAAAUCCAAGCAUUUGCACAUGGACUAUUGUGUGAUCUUUUUUCAUAAUUUACUUCUUUGAUUACAAUCAAGAUUUUUUAUCCCAAAGAUAGUGAAGCUCAAAAUACCACACAAAUAUAAUUUACUUAAAUUUUUAUUGCACUAGCUGUUUUAACAAAUAAAAAAGAUUCUUCAUCAAUAAUAUUAAAGAAGCAUAAAUAGUUUCAUAGUCAUUAAUUAAAUAUACCUAUAUAUAUAUAUAUAGUUUUUUGGAGGUUUACAUUUCUUAUUUUAGGUGGAAAGAAAGAUAAUUGUGCACAAUUCGGACCAGAAGGCUCGCACGCAUAGCAAGAAAGAGAAAAGCCUGCUGCUGCUGCUGCUGAGAGUGUGUCCCUCCGCCCCCUGCACAUAAACCCUAAUUUUAUGUCACCGCAUUCGCAACACAGGGACACACGUCCAAGCCCGUCCUGCACACCCUGGAGCUCUCUCUCUCUCUCUGUCUCUGACAACAUCCUGCCUUGCCCUGGGAAUUGGGCUCCCACAAAUCCAUCUCCAUGUCUGCGUUGUCCGCAGCCUGGCUGAUAAAUAUCCCGUUGCAUGCACUUUGCCCCAAUUUCCGUCCCUUUUCCGUCCAUUUUUCUCCUCUCCUACUCUUUUCAUUCCCAGCCCAAUAUGACGAUGGCACCGGUCACGCUGUCGUCAAGGGUGCGUCAUCUCUGUCUCAGCACCCGACGACUCACUGCUCGCUCUGCUGCGGUGCAGGCGCAGCGAUGUCCUUCCCUGCUGCUGCUGAGGUGCAUCGCGACCUGAGGGUCCGGUGGGCUUUGUGCUCACGCCGCACAUUCUUCGAGGGGAGCGGGCGGGCGAGCUCUCACAUGUUGGACUGACGGGUGGGAAUCACGGGGCCGUGACGGGUGGUGUGUUGUGAGUGGCGUCACCACGGAGCCAGCAGUGGCACGGUGACAGGGGUGCCUGACGCCCGCCAGCUAACUAGCUAGUUUUAGCUGGAUGGCUCUCUACCUUCGAUUUAGCGCCUGCACAAUCAUGGAUGGUCCUUUCUUCACUGUUCUCUUUGACUGGAAUGAUCUGACAUGUAAUUUUGAUUUUUUAUGAAAACAAUUAUCAUCAGUAGAAAAUCAACAUAAACCACUAAUCUGGGACAAAGUUUUGUUUGAAUUGCAAGAGGGAACUAUAAUGCUAUGUUUGUGUGUUUAUAUAUGUUUAUGUGUAUAUAUAUAUAUAUAUAUAUAUAUGUGUGUGUGUGUGUGUGUGUGUGUUGUGAAUAUAUGUAAUUUUAAGUUUUCUAGUUCUAUUGUUGUUAUUUAUGCAAGGAGGCUGUUUGGAAGUAUAUUUUUUUCCCAUAUGCUUUGUUUUUAUGUUAGUGGUUUGUAUCUAUGUAUAUAUGUAUAUACAUGAUUUACCCAAAAAACAACUAUUUUGCAUGCCAUUUUUGUAUAAAAUAAGCACAGAGCCUAUUCUAUAUCUCUUGCAUACUACACUUCACAAUCCUAUGAUUUUAACUUUAUAAUACCACAAUCUAAUCCUUUCAAAAAUAUACACAGAACUUCAUAUAAGUUUCAAAUUAAAAACCAGGUCUAAAUCUCAUAAAAAAAUUCACUUUGUGGUUUGUCCAUCUCAUCAUCUACUACAUGUGGUAAUCAAGUCUCUUCCUAUAGUUAUUCUAUUGUAAUUUUUGUAAUAAAAAUGGCAAUGUGAAAUCAAAGCCUAAUUAAAAUUUGUUGUUAGUUAGAACUAAAGGAAUUUUUAAAUAAAACAAAACUAUCCAUUGGCAUAUACAUAUAAAGAAAUUGUAAUUCUAUUACUACUAUCAUAUUUGGUUUAGCAACAAAUUCUAUUGGUUCUUAGACAAGUUUUUGCAAUUUCAUAGAAAGACCUAUGAAAACUAUUUUUCUCUAAAAUUUUCUUGUUGGAAUUAUAAAACUAUUUUUUCUUAUAUAUAUACAAGAAGAAUUUCAAAAGUUACAUAGAUUAUUUUGAUUUCUUUUCAAUUAUUUUAGAAUUAUCUUUUAUUUAAUAAUAAGAAUAUUUUCAAAAAAUAAUUACAUGUAUGGAAAAAGGGUAAUUUUAAUAUUUACAAAGUCUAAAGGAUCAUGUGAUCUUUACAAUUUAGAUCUUUUUAAGACAACAUAAAUUUUCAAUAUUUUUAUUAAAGUCUAAUUAAGAUUUUAGAGGUUUUUAAAGUUUUAUGAGUAGUCAUACAAAUGUCUUAUUGAAAAUAUCUUAUUCCUAAUUUUAAAUCAAAUCUUCAUUUUAAGUUAAUAUUUCAUUUUUAGAAAAUUAAAAACACAAUAGAAAUAUAUUUCUUUCCUAUCUUAGUUUCAUUAAUGAUUGAAAAUUAUUUUGAUUUUCAUUAAUGAUUAAAAAAUUAUAUUCAUAUAAUUAUAUAUUAAAAUUGAUUUACUAUAAAAAGUAAAAGUUAAUUUUAGUUACUAUAGACUAAUUACAAGUGAUGGAAAUUUUACAAGAUGUCAAUCUCAAUCUUUAACAUCCAAUUAGAGAUUCUUUAAAGUAUUUUGAAAUUUUAAAAGAAUAUCUAAAAAGUACAAUUUUAUAACUAAAACAAUAUAUAUAUAUAUAUAUAUAUACAUAUAUUUUCUAAGGAAAAUUAACAAUCAAUGAAAAUUAUACCCAAAUCUAUUGACAAUGAAGACUCUUUUAAUAUCAUAAACAACCAAGUGUCUAUAAACAAUACUACAUCCAAUUUCUUAUGAAUACUAGUAUUGAUGGUUUUUUUUUAGUAAAAAAAUAUUAUUUUUUCCAAAUAUUGAAUAGAAAUAAAGUAUUAUAUUUGAUAUGCUAUUGAAUAGAAUUAAUUAUUAAAUAAAUUUGUAACUAAAAAUUAAGUAUUUAUUAAUUUUUCAAAAUAAUCUACUAUAAUUAUUAAUAUUUUUCAAAUUAAGAAUCUAAGUUUGAUAAAAAUUAAAAAAAUUAUUCUUUACCCAGAGAUAAUUCAUCAUAUAAUUUUAAUAUUUAAUAAUAAUUUUUUUUAAAGAUUAAAACAAAAAAUAUCACAACUCCAAUAAAUUAUGUAAUAUCUCUAUAAUUACUAGAAAUUCGUACUUGUUUAAAUAUAUAUAAAUAUUUCUUAAUUAGAAAUUUAAUUUAAUACUAUAAUUUUUAUUAUUCAUUGAUAUCUUUUAAAAAUAAUUUCUCAUAAUUUCUAAUUAUACUUAUUGUUUUAAUAUUUUUUAAUAUUAUUCUAUUUAGCAUAUUUUUAGAAAAAUAUUCAUUCUAAUAUUUAACUUAAUUAUAAUAUAGAGUUUUUUAACACUACUAAUUUCUUCACCUUUUAUUGCAACAUCUCAAGAUUAAUUAAAGAUGUUUUCAAAUUUAAAAUAAGAAUAUAAUGUAUAAUUGAUUUAUCCAAACAUGAUUUUAUUUAGCACAAAAAAUCUAUAGAAACUGAAUGAAAAUGUUAAAACAUACAAUGAUAAAAAAAUAAAAAAUAAAAUCUUUGAAAUCAAAUAAUAAAUAUUAUUCAUGAUAUUUUAUUUCUAUUCCUAUUUAUUCUUUUAAAAUCAAAAGAUUAAUAUCAUAAAGAUACAUGAUUUUUCUUUUUAUAAAAAGACUACAAAAGUUAUACACAAUUAUAUUUUAUAAAUUCUAACUUAGUACUAUUUCUAUUAGCUCUUUAUUCAUUUUAAUCUCCUACAAGUCUAAUUUUGUAAGUUCACUACAUGUGAUAAAAUUCAUUAUUUUUUUAUUCAUUAUUAACUUCAAUCUACUCUAACAUAGAUUAUUAAAUGCCAUCUAUAUUAUCUACUAUUUUUCUAAAAACUCCGCUUGGAUUUAAUUAUAAAAGAUAAAAUAAAAAACCAUAUAUUUCUAUUAUUAGAUAUAUUAUUAGUCAUUAUAUAUAUAUAUAUAUAUAUAUAUAUAUAUAAUACCUCAACUUUUUAAUUCUAUAAAAAACUUUAAUUAUCCAAUCAACUAGAUAGAUUCUCAAGUAAGUUUUGUUUGGCUAUUUCAACCUACUUAUCAUGGUAAAGUAAAUAAAUAUUUUAUAUACAACUAAUCAAAUAGUUGAGAGAAUGUAAUUUACAAAUAUUACAUAAUUAGAUUCUUGUCAUUAUUUGCAAUAUAGUGAAGUACAUAAAAAAAGAAUUUUUUAAAGCAUAAAAAAUUAUGGCCAAAGAUUUAUAUUGUAAGUCUUUAAAAAAUUAUUUUUUAGAAUUAAAUUAUUCUUAUGGCUCUAAAAAAAAUUAUACCUAAUAGGUCCACUCUUGGUGAAAACUACAAUUCUUUGUAUGCACAAUAUUUAUAUUUAUUUAUAAAUAUUUAGUAUUAUAAAAAUAAAUAAUUCAUAGCUUAGAGAGUAACAAAGAUAAAAUACAUCUUAAAUUGUAUAAAAUAAAAAACUUAGUUAAAAAAAUAGAACUCAUUUUAACAUUAUCAACUCAAAUAUUUAAAUUCUAUAAAUUCUAAGGUUCACUAAUAGUCCAACUCUUUUUAAAAUAAAUAACUAAAUAAGAUUUUUUUUUACCAAUUUAAAUUUAUUAUAUUUUUCUUUAUUAAAUAAUUUUUUCUUAGCCAUUAAAAAAAGAAGAAGAAGAGAGAUCUAUUUGAAAUUUAAGAUAGAUAACUUUCAGGAAAAUUUUAAAAUAAAAAAACAAACUUGAAUGAUCAAAAGAUAUAUUUAUUUUAAAAAUCCCAUUUAACUUCACCACCCAUUAAAUAAAAAUUAAAGAUUUUUUUUAAGAAAAUAUAAAAUAUAAAACAAAAAAAAAUCUUAUAGUAAUAAGAUCUCUAAGAUAAGUAAUUUAGAUCCCUUUGGAAUUAGAAUGAAAUCUUGAUGAUGACUUCUAGCAUAAUUUAUAUAGCUUAAAUACAAUAUCAAAAUUAGAAAUUAUAUAUAUAUUGAAACUAUACUUUUUUAUAAUUCUAAUAUUAAUUGUGAAAUAUGUAGAAGUAUUAGACUUUCAAUUCUUUUUUCAUAGCAAUUUUUUAGAACAUAAAUGAAAAUUUUAAAAAUAUCUAUCUUUAUUUGGCUUAUUUGGCACAAUAAAAUUAUAUUAAAUAUCUAGAUAUUGAUAAUAUACUAUUGAUAAUAUACUAUUAUAAAGUGGUGUAUGAUCUAAGUUAAAGUUCUUAGAUUAUUUAGAGAUAAAUAUAAUACUGAUAUAUUCUAAGAUAAAAGUUGACCAAAUAUCAAAAUAGAACUAAGAAUAUGGAGCUACUUAUAAAAUAUGGAAAAUUUGAUUAUUGCAAAAUUAAAGGAAGGAAAAGAAUAAAUAAUAAAUCAAGAGCAAUUAUUGAAAACAACACAAUUCUUGAAGAAGUUCACAAAAAUAUGGAUGAGUGAUAUUAGACUAGACAUUACAGAAACUAAACAUGUCAUUUGGUGAAACUAUUCUCUAUUUUCUUAAAUUUAUAUAUUCUACCUUAUUUUUCGAAGAGGUCUGUAAGCUUAAAACUACCCACAACUUUCAAUUCCUUCAAUUGGUUAAAUUACAGACUCUUCAAUUCCAACUAAUCAAAGGAUUUAAUUUUUUUUGGUUUUCUCACAUUUUCUCUUAAGUGUAAAGACUAGUAAAUCUUUACAAGUACUGUGGAAAUUUGUAAUCUACUACUCUUAUUUAAUAACUAGAGUUUAACCCUCGAAUGCUUCAAAAUAAAAGUGACUCUCCAACAAACUCACUCUGAGCCGAAGGAAUCACCUUAGGAUUUCAGGAUUAAUCAGCAACUGGGUACAUCGACAGUAGUGAAGAAUAAUGAAAACAACAAAUAAACAAAUAAAAACAAAUGACAAUUCUCCGACCUUUCAAUGGUGGCGAUGCUCCAUGGCUUGUCAAGGCACUGGAGAGAGUCUCGAGAACGGCGCCCACAAAACUGGUGAUCUGCCAGAAAAAAGUGUCCUGCGUUUCCAGACACUGAAACUGUAUGAGGACUAACUUAACUUGGUAAUUCUCAUGUCAAAACCCACGAGAUGCUUAGGCGCCACUGACAAACUACUGCUUCCCCUGGACGAUUCCUCAGUUGGAUCGGCGAAUUCGUGCCCAUACCCUCACUUCAUUUAUUGUAGUAGGAACAUGACAAAAAGCAAACUAUGACGUUGCUUUCGUUUUCCAGUGAUUUGGCAUUGAAAUCGACCAGGAUUCAGCUUUAAGAGUUCCCACACGGGACGAUACGUGGGAGUCAGAAGACCAUGCCGUAGUUCCGACUUUUUACUCUGGUGUAACUUCACCGAAGCUGAUCCUAUGCCAUUGAGGUCAAGGUUGGAUUGACGAUUCGAAUCGAACGAGCCGGAAUGUUCCGAUGACAUUCUGAUCGAUCCCAGAACAAUCAAGUGAGUAGAAAAUUGCAGCUCAUGCUCUGGCAGCUGUAGCUUCACGUGCUGAUUAGCCCACUUGACUCUUGGGAGAAUGCACACUGACAUCACAUUUUAUGAUAUAGGGAAUAGACAAAGGUGAGAUCGGUGUCGACGCCAACGCGAAUUGUCGGUAAAUUGUAACUUUGUCUGCCGAUGCUCGAUUCGGAUCGAAACUUUUACCAGCGAUAUGGCAGACAUGACUGCUGCUGCUGCCGAGCAGCUCCACCUCUCCGGACCCUCACGACCUACGUUUACUGUCGUCGCUCGAGGAAAUAGAGUAGCUUGUGUGAAGCACGAGCUGUUUGGAACAGGUUACCACUUCCAGAAACUGUGGCGAUCAAACUCACUCAAGUGAUUGAAUGCGAACCGUAGAACAGUAUACAUGGGAGCUACGGUUCGGUCGAAAGUGUUGUCAUUUGAUGAUGGAUAUCGACAGUUUUUAGUGAGCCUGGUUAGUGCAUAAUAAUUGUGUCAGGGUACAGUGUUGAAUCCUUGACGUCUGAUGUUUCGCCCACGUGAACCUUGACUCAGCAAUCUUCAGAGGCCUAUAUUAACCUGGCGAGGAGUCACUCGUCUUUCAGGUCUCAGACUUCGAGGAGUGUGCUAGCCCCACGCCUGAUCCCGGCCCUCGGUUCGAUUCUUAUCGCUUCUCCAGUGGGUUACUGCAAGUCCGGUUCAGCUCGGAAAAUUGAAGUGGGAGGGGGGGGGGGGGGUGUUACGUUGGUCGAUCAAAUUGGGAGCUAUGGCUUCCUUCAGAGCCGGUGCGGCAGUGUCUCUGUGCCUGAUGACACUCGUGACGAUGCUCAGUGUAGAUGCUCUCACCACUGACUUCUACGCCAAGUCGUGCCCGCGAAUUCACUCCAUUGUCAAGGCGGAAAUCAAGAAAGCUGUAAAUGUCGAGAAGAGAAUGGCCGCCUCCCUCAUCCGCCUCCACUUCCACGACUGCUUCGUGCAUGUAAGUGUUGGGCAUGUUUACUCCAAUCAGCUCGUGUUGUCCUUCAACCCCCUGCCAUUCAUCGUCUCAUGCUUCCAAUUUUAGAAGAAUGUGCUAGUGGAUCAAAUUUGGCAAGUAUUUUGAAGGAUACCAAUAAACAAUCUCUUGCAGUCUCACGACUGGGUUCGGGUUAAUAUUUUUUGGUUUGUUUUGUUUGCAUUCUAUUCGUACUUAGUUUAUUACAAGUAGCUGCAUUUGAGUGUAUCUUAGCUCCAUCAUUUCACCAAGCGGAUUGUCAAUGUGAUUUGUAACAGGGAUGCGAUGGAUCGAUACUCUUGGACAGCAUCCCAGGAAUGGAUUCAGAGAAAUUUGCACCCCCGAACGACAGAUCUGCAAGAGGGUACGAGGCGAUUGAUGCCAUCAAGGUCGCAUUAGAGAAGGCUUGCCCCAGGACAGUCUCAUGCGCCGACAUUUUGGCCAUCGCAUACCGUGAUUCAGCUGUUGAGGUACACUCUCGUUCAAAACUUCGCAAUACUGUGUGAUUCAUCUUGUACAUGAUCUCGGGUAUCAAACGCAACAUGCCCAUUGUGAGAGGUCGUUUUUUCUGUCUCAAAAUAUUUCAUGGUUGGAUUCCACAGGUUGGGUUGGUACCCGAAUAUCCAGUGCCCUUCGGUCGCCGCGACAGCCUGAGAGCAGCUCCUAUCGCUGAAGUCAAUUUACGGCUGCCAGGACCAGACUUCGAUAUCUCCACAUUGAAAGCAAGCUUUGCUAAUCAGAGCUUAGACGAGAGAGAUCUUGUCGCGCUGUCCGGUGCUCACACAAUCGGCAGAGUUAGAUGUCAGUUUGUCAGAUUAUUUCUCAACGACCCCGGUACGAACGCAGACUUCAAAAAGGAACUGGCCAGAUUAUGUGCACCAACUGUCGACGCCUUCACACUGCAGAACUUGGACCUGAAAACACCAGAUAAGUUCGACAACAACUACUACAAGAACCUGCGAAGAGGCGAGGGCAUUAUCCGAAGCGACCAGGUUCUGUGGAGCUCCGAAGGCACUCAUCAAAAAAUCACAAAGGACUUCGCAGAGAACCAGGAGAACUUCUUCCGCCAGUUCAUAGAGAGUAGCAUCAAGAUGGGUAAGAUCAAGCCACCCCCAGGGAGUCCUAGUGAGAUCCGGUUGAACUGCCACCAGGCCAAUCCCCGGCCCCUCAUCGAGCAGGUUGUGGCUGUCGAGUGAUUUGCUUGCUUCGACAUGUGGACAAUCGGCGGCUUCAUCACGUUCUGGAAGGCCGUCGAAAACGAGUUCUGCCCUCUGCGAACAAGAUUGAAAGAUGGUAGUGGAAUGAAUUGGUGAAGUUUGUCAUUCCAUUUCGAGGGCCAGGAGAGCAAUUUGCAACAGUAUAAACCUGAUAAGUUAUGAGGAGGAUUGUGCAAUGUCGGUGCUGUCAUGUUGGUGCAGGAAGACGGUGCCCUGUUUUGUUUUCAAGGACUUGUCAAUUCUGUUUGUGUUCUUGCUUAGACGAAUGUAAAUGCAGUUUU